This is a long non-coding RNA of Sycon ciliatum, 834 nucleotides long. RefSeq lists it as uncharacterized. NCBI's taxonomy places the organism in Eukaryota, Metazoa, Porifera, Calcarea, Leucosolenida, Sycettidae. The transcript is spliced from 2 exons. The record is from RefSeq and is a predicted model, not a curated record.
GCAGUUUUUAUUGCUAUAAUUUUAGUUGGUAUUUCAAGGGAAGAUGGGCGAUUCCGAACAAUCCUCUGUCCCCAGCAAUGAAGGCAGCGAUGCUGAGGCCAGUGAGGACGACCAACAGCCCACCGCCGCGUAUGGUUGGGGCAGGGAGCCCAGAUACUCUGCUGAGGAGCUGCCAUCGCGUGUAACAAAUGUGGAGGAAGAAGAUGCGUCAGCAGCUGCGUCCGACAGAAGACGAGUAGCUUGGCCACCAGAAUCUCGAUUCGUUUGGGACUCCGACUGGUGCGAGCGUGGACAAAAGUGUAUAGCCAUGCCCAGCCCGCGGGAAUGAUUUUGCUGGUAGGAUGCUGCCGUCGCUGUCGACAAGACGGCCCAAGGUUUCUUGCGCAGCGGACCUCGCAGAUUACGAGAUCGUAUCCUUGCAUUAGGCUGUGCUCAUCACUGCUCUUCGAGGUUAUCUCGACAUGCAGAAGCCGCCAAUGCCAGUGACAGAAGAGUCUGACAUUAGAUCUCUACGCUAUGCGGCACACAGGCAGUACACACUAUGUACACGGCAAAUUGGGCAAGCACGUUCGUUGUCGUCUUCCAGCCUGCGUUGUGAAUACCAUCAGGCAAAGAUAUCCAAAUCCUGCACCACCUCAGCCUUCUCAGGAGGCUUCCACCUGGAAUUUGGCAGAGAAACACGCUUCUCCAAGGCAGGAACAUGGAGGUUGCCAUUUGCAACCGCUACCACCUCACACAUGAGCUUGUCAACAUACUCAUAGCUCUUUCUGUCGUAUAAUUUUCUAUUUGGCCACAGUCUUCUUUAUGCUUUGAGAACUGGACUUUAUACCUUCC